Molecule: ribosomal RNA, 252 nt
Filed under: uncultured Bacteroidales bacterium
Lineage: Bacteria; Pseudomonadati; Bacteroidota; Bacteroidia; Bacteroidales
Description: partial 16S ribosomal RNA
Rfam family: Bacterial small subunit ribosomal RNA
Source: RNAcentral
UACGGAAGAUGCGAGCGUUAUCCGGAUUUAAUGGGUUUAAAGGGUGCGCAGGCGGUCUGUUAAGUCAGCGGUCAACGCCCGGGGCUCAACCCCGGCCCGCCGUUGAAACUGGCAGUCUCGAGUACAGUAGAGGUGGGCGGAAUUCGUGGUGUAGCGGUGAAAUGCAUAGAUAUCACGCAGAACUCCGAUUGCGAAGGCAGCAUACCGGCGCCCGACUGACGCUGAAGCACGAAAGCGUGGGUAUCGAACAGG